Molecule: long non-coding RNA, 3999 nt
Filed under: Homo sapiens (human)
Lineage: Eukaryota; Metazoa; Chordata; Mammalia; Primates; Hominidae
Description: HSALNT0088588
Source: RNAcentral
GAGUUUUCUCAAUUUUUUAUUAAAAUAUUUAAUUAAAAAUAAUACCCACUGUGGCACUGUCCUCCAUUGAGAGGUGAAAAGGUGGUGAGGAGGAGCUGGCAAUGCCCAUCUCUAGGAAUCCGGACAAGCCCUGCCUCCCAGGUUCCCGUUUAUAUCCCCAACUUUCCAACAGGUUCUGACCUCCAGGCAGUUGGUUCAAAGUUACAAGUGCUUGUGACCCUCCCUUGAGCUCCUCCAGGCCCACCCCUGUACAGAAUUCAAGGGCCACCUGAACAAACUCCUUGCUUUUUCUCAUUUUUGGGCUCCUUCGUUCAUGCUACAAAGAGGAUCUGAGGGACAGAGUGGCGUCUCUACUAGCUGGGGUAAGGGAGGAAAUGGACAGUAAUGGGGGACAGGGCCAAGAAGAGGGAUGGUGAUGAAUACUCCAGAGCAGGAUCGGGUAGCAGGGCACUGGGUCUCUCAGCAUGUAUAGCCCUUCCAGGCCCAAUAGCUCCAUGCGCAGCUCAUCUUCUAGCCCUAGCCCCAACUCCAACCCUGCUACUGACACCUCAAAGCCAGGCACUCCAGCCAGGGUUGCUGCAAUCUCCUUAGAGAAACCUGGGAAGGAGUCUCCUAUGAGGAUGAUGUUCAGCCUUGAGCCACAGCAGGAGCAGUGGUGGGUCAAGUUCUGGUGGUUGAGGGUGUGGGAAUCCUGAGGGCCAGCCACUGGUCCCUCACCUUCUAAAAAUCCAGGCCCUUCAGAAAAGCCAGGGGGACCCAUCACCAGGCUGAUUUAUGGGCUCUCCAUGCUGAACUGCUCCAGUUCCCCAGGCUGAAGUCACUCAUCGGCCAGUGAAGACUUGCCCAAGCCCAGUGGGCCGAGGCGGGGAGUAUUCCAUAAUCCAAUUGCCUGCUCAGGGGCUACCCACCUGAGGGCUGCGCUGAGCAGGCCUGAGAGGGCAGCUCUGGCUGCUGUAGAGACUUUGGGGUGUGUGGCUGGGUGUGCAGAUUACUGGUCUCCAGGGGGACACCCUGAACGAUGGAAGACAGGGUGGGUGACACUGGCAAAAACUGUUUGGGUAGCUGCUGUUGCGACCUUCUGGCAUCGGCUGGACCUGUGAGCAAACUUAGGGGGCUGAGGGGUACAAGGCAGUGGUGGUGGGGAGGCCCCAGGAGUAGAGGUUGAGUAAGGUAGGGGCAGAUGAAGAAUAAAGUGGAGGACGAGAGGAGGAGUAGGAGAAGGAAGAGGAAGAGGGGGAGGAAGAGGGGGAGGAGGAGGAGAAGUGGGGGGCAGGGUACUUAGUGAGGGCUGGCCCAGGAAGGUAGUAGGCAGGGCAUGGUGGGCCAAGGAAGAGGGAGAUAGUGAGGGGAGACUGUGGAUGCCCUGAAGAUGGAGCUGAGGACUGCUCAGGGAAGUCUGGAGAUCGGGAUUGCUUAGGGAGGACUGCAGGGAUGGGUGGCUGAGAGGUGAACAAAGUCCUGGGGCAUCAUGACCUGGACCCAAGUCCAGGCUCAGGCCCUCACUAAUGCCCAGGUGAGUCAUGAUGUGAGUCAAAUUGGAGGUACUGUUGCCCCUAUUCAGGCUAGAGUAGGCUGUCUCCUCAGGGUCCGGGGGGUGGGCAGUGCUGGCAGAAAGUACAAAUUGAUGAGGUCAGGUAGGGACCUCCUGCCACAUCCAGUCUUCAUGGCAGGUGGGAGGACAGGAACAUUGGCAAGCUGGCCAGGAAAUGGAAAGAUAUUAAUUCCAGGGACUUCAUUAGGACCGGGGUCAGGAGGAGGGUGACGACAGCUUCUAAGUAUCCCAUGGCUUCAGCAAAUGCUUGUCACCUAGGAGAACUUCUCCUCAAUAGCAGGUACUUUGGAGUCCAUUUUACCAACCUGAAAUGUUGGCUGGGCAGGAUGCUGGGAGGUGUGGGGCCUGAAUAAGUAUCCUGGGGACUGGGGUUCAUCAUACUUGUGUGAAGGGCAGAGUCAGAGCUUGUCCUGUUAAAUGCAGAUGCUGGGCAAAACAGGUACCCCUUCUCUGCAGGGAAAUUGUCCCAGGAGAUAGUCCUUCACCAGCUGGACACUUGGGGAGGAGAUAAGUAGGCAGGACUAUAGGGAGAGCUGUCAGUGUGGUAGGGUGUUGGCAGAGAACCACCAUAACGGGAGCUCCUUGUGUAUGGCAGUUGCAGUUUUUGGGUGUGUAACUGGGUGGAGCUGAUGUCCAUUAUCAUUUCCUCGAGGGCCACUGUGUCCUCAGCCUGACACUGCUUCUGCAGCGUGAUCUCACUAAACUUGCACAGAUUGAAAGCCAAGGCUGUGGCCGAACAAGGCUCAUUUGCCCUGCCCCUGAUGUCGCCAUCUUCCUCCCGUUCCUUCCUGACACCCUCCCAGUACAAGCCACUGUUCCUCCCUCAACACCUCCCAGCAUCCUAUUCCAGCCACAGCGACUGCCGCCUCAGCCUCACAAACAGUUUUGGAAAGUACAGGCAAACCCUGCAGAAUAGCUCCCCAAUCAUUAUUUUCCCAAUAGAACACCUCUUGGUUUUUAAUACCAAAACCUCCUAAAAUGUGCUUUUCUCACAAUGCAAGAUUGUUCUGGCAAAUAUUUAUGUAAGGAAAGAUUUAUAUUUGUAUGUGACAAAACUCAAUUCGCAUUUUAAAUAAAAGAUUGUGCAAGAAAAGUUUGGAGCUACAUUCCAAAUAUAAUCGAUAGACUGUUAGAAUCACAGUAGACAUAAAAAAUCAUGCGAAGUAUCAAAGUGAUACAAAAUGUAGGUAUAGGAUGAUGCUUUUAUCAUAUUCAGUAUGAGCCAUUUACUAACACAGUUUGCUUGUCCUCAAUGUAUUUCUACAGCCUCUCAUAUACUUGUUUAGCCUGUUUUGCUUACUGCUGAGAGUCCCUAAACAUUUAAGAAAAUGUUGAAGAGAACAGUGGGAAUGGGCAAAAAGCAAUUAUACUGGAAGAAAAGAUUUUACUAUAUAUAAAUCUGAUUUGUUAAUCUCAUUGUAUUGAUCACACAUGAUGAUAUUUUACUUAUACAAAGGUAAUUCACAGUGGUUAGUUACAUUUCUGAAUUUGGUUAGGGAGUUCGUGUUGAUACACUGCCAUUUUUUCCCAUUUAGUCUACAUUCAACCAUUUGACCUAAAAAAAUGACAAUUUCAUAUGGUCCAACUUAACAUAAAAAUAAUGUUCACCCCAAACUUAGAUGUCAAAAAUUUAUAUAAAUAAAAUCUGCUAAAUCAAAUAUAAAUAUAAUAAAUAUUUUGAAAUAUAAUCUUUAAUCAAAGCCAUUUCAUGUUUAGCUCAUUUUCAGAAACAUUUUUACCCCACUUAAGGCUCAACUUUUUGUUAGGACGAAAUUAAAGGGAAAACAGUUCACAUCUCAACUUUUAAUAUCUGUUGGUAAAUAUCAAGAUACAUGAUUUUUAAAAAGAAAAAAGCCACAAAUGACUGAACAGCACAUACAUGCAAAUUUAAGCCAUCUUUGCUUCAGUGAAGAAAAAUAAAUACAUGGAAUUCAUAUUUCAAGACUUUCUAAUCUUUAAGAUAGUUACUUAAGAUCUGGUAUUAGUGCUAUUUGUCAUAAAAGCUCAUAUAUUCAUUGAGCUGUCAAAAACAAGUUUUACAUGUUGACAAUUGCCUUUUGGUCUCUGAAAACAGGAUCCUAUUAUAUGUUUUCUAGUUCACAGCUGAGUUCACAGCAGCUGUGAGGCUAAGAAAUGCCAGCAACCAAUUAGGCUGGCAUAAACCUUGUCUAGCAUAUAAAGUAUAAUUUGGUUGCAAAUGGAGGAGACAAGAGCCAAAAUAAGUCAGCCAAGAAUACUAAUAAAAUUUCAUUACAAGUAUUUAAAAGUCAGAAUAUUAAAAAUCUAACAAAAAUAUGUAUUUUAUUAAGAAAAUAUAGUAGUAGAACGUUAGGAAAAAUACAAAAAAGCAACAAUCAAUUCUUUUCAGAUCCAAGCAGUUUUUUAAAAGGUUGCAGCUGUUUCUGACAUACCUAGGAUUACAAACUCUAUGUUGUUUUUUUUUUUUU